UGGGGAAUUUUGGACAAUGGGCGAAAGCCUGAUCCAGCAAUGCCGCGUGUGUGAAGAAGGCCUUCGGGUUGUAAAGCACUUUUGUCCGGAAAGAAAUCCUUGGCUCUAAUACAGUCGGGGGAUGACGGUACCGGAAGAAUAAGCACCGGCUAACUACGUGCCAGCAGCCGCGGUAAUACGUAGGGUGCAAGCGUUAAUCGGAAUUACUGGGCGUAAAGCGUGCGCAGGCGGUUUGCUAAGACCGAUGUGAAAUCCCCGGGCUCAACCUGGGAACUGCAUUGGUGACUGGCAGGCUAGAGUAUGGCAGAGGGGGGUAGAAUUCCACGUGUAGCAGUGAAAAUGCGUAGAGAUGUGGAGGAAUACCGAUGGCGAAAGGCAGCCCCCUGGGCCAAAUACUGACACUCAUGCACGAAAAGCGUGGGGAGCAAAACAGGAUUAGAUACCCUGGUAGUCCACGCCCUAAAACGAUGUCAAACUAGUUGUUGGGGAUUCAUUUCCUUAGUAAACGUAGCUAAACGCGUGAAGUUGACCGCCUGGGGAGUACGGUCGCAAGAUUAAAAACUCAAAGGAAUUGACGGGGUCAUAGCUGUUUCCU
RNAcentral lists this ribosomal RNA (595 nucleotides) under uncultured bacterium. Its description in RNAcentral is "partial 16S ribosomal RNA". It matches the Rfam family "Bacterial small subunit ribosomal RNA", at positions 355 to 1375 of the family's 1533-position model. The record is from RNAcentral.